Molecule: transfer RNA, 72 nt
Filed under: Camelus bactrianus (Bactrian camel)
Lineage: Eukaryota; Metazoa; Chordata; Mammalia; Artiodactyla; Camelidae
Also listed under: 2 other names
Rfam family: tRNA
About the family: Transfer RNA (tRNA) molecules are approximately 80 nucleotides in length. Their secondary structure includes four short double-helical elements and three loops (D, anti-codon, and T loops).
Source: Rfam by way of RNAcentral
GAGGGUAUAGCUCAGUGGUAGAGUCUGUGUCUGGCAUGCAUGAGGUCCUGGGUAGAACCCCCAGUACCUCCA